This 174-nucleotide ribosomal RNA is filed under the name uncultured bacterium. RNAcentral describes it as "partial 16S ribosomal RNA". It matches the Rfam family "Bacterial small subunit ribosomal RNA", at positions 1320 to 1500 of the family's 1533-position model. The record is from RNAcentral.
ACGAAGCUGGAUUCGCUAGUAAUCGCGCAUCAGCCACGGCGCGGUGAAUACGUUCCCGGGCCUUGCACACACCGCCCGUCAAGCCAUGGGGAGCCGGGGGUACCUGAAGUGCGUAACCGCGAGGAGCGCCCUAGGGUAAAACUGGUGACUGGGGCUAAGUCGUAACAAGGUACC